RNA transcript from Lolium perenne, 1829 nucleotides. It is a transcript of the gene named E3 ubiquitin-protein ligase makorin, with no coding region annotated. Lineage: Eukaryota; Viridiplantae; Streptophyta; Magnoliopsida; Poales; Poaceae. The record is from RefSeq and is a predicted model, not a curated record.
UCCAAUCCCCGAUUCGCUCCGCCCGAGAGAGAGAGAGAGAGACGGCGCGGCGACGAGCAAGCCCUAGGCGACGACGCGGCGGCGAACCCCAUCUCUUCGUCGCUGGAUUCGGGCUCUCCCCGGCGACCCGGUCCGGCCAUGUCCACCAAGAGGGUUCUUUGUAAGUUCUUCAUGCAUGGAGCUUGCUUGAAAGGAGACUACUGUGAGUUCUCCCAUGACUGGAGUGACCAAUCAAAUAAUGUUUGCACCUUUUACCAGAAAGGCUCAUGCUCCUAUGGUAGCCGUUGCAGAUAUGAUCAUGUCAAAGUUUCUCGUAAGAACCCAGUGCCUCCACUACCAUCAUCAAGUACUGCAGCACGUAAUUCCCUAGUGCCUCUGCCACCAUCAUCAAAUACCGCAACACGUGUUGCAUCUACUUCUCUACAACUCUUAAGUCCUGGACGUCCUCUUCACUUGGGACACCAAACAAAUUCAAGCAACCAAAGACAACAGGUAUCUACAGAUUUGCUGCCACUUUCUGGAAGUAAGCCUGCAUGGAAGAAUGAGGUCCAACUUGUAGAGGACGGGAUUGACUGGUCGUUCAAUCAAACUGAGCAAAACCAAACUUCCAUCAAACUUGUUGAUAUGCCAAUUUGUUCUUUUGCUGCUGCUGGUAACUGCCCAUAUGCGGAAGAGUGCCCUAACAUGCAUGGAGAUAUGUGCGCAGUCUGUGGGAAAAUGUGCUUGCAUCCCUAUCGUCCCGAUGAGAGGCAGGAGCAUAUCAAGCUAUGUGAAAAGAACCACAAGCGUCUUGAGGCUUUGAAACGUAGCCAAGAAAUAGAAUGCAGUGUCUGCUUGGACCGUGUGCUCUCAAAGCCUACUGCCGCUGAAAGGAAAUUUGGGCUGUUAUCUGAAUGUGAUCAUCCCUUCUGUAUUUCAUGCAUUAGAAAUUGGCGUGGCAACUCUCCUUCAUCUGGUAUGGAUGUGAACUCAGCACUGAGGGCUUGCCCAAUAUGUCGCAAACUAUCCUACUAUGUCAUUCCAAGUGUUCUUUGGUACUUUUCGAAGGAGGAAAAGCUGGAGAUAACUGAAAACUACAAAGCAAAGCUCAAGUCUAUAGAUUGCAAGUACUUUGAUUUUGGAACGGGUACUUGCCCCUUUGGGACUAGCUGUUUCUACAAGCAUGCUUACAGAGAUGGCCGCUUGGAAGAAGUUACACUGCGACAUCUUGAUUGUGAUGAUGGAAGUACACUUAUUGCUAAGAACAUUAGAUUGUCAGACUUCCUCAGUCGAUUGCAUCUAUAGGGACCAGCAGCUGUAUAUAUUAUCAAAUGCAUUCUGGGAUUUUGCUAUCUACCAAACAUGUGCAGUCUUCUGAAGGCAUUGGUUUAAACUGAGGCAUCUUCGAAAAGUGUUGCUUUAUUAACUCCAAUUUUCGUGGUUGAUUUGUCGUCAGUCAUACAAAGGAAUUAUGAAGCUCAUCGCGGGACACCUGGAUGGCCUUAUAUAAUAGAAGCAAUGUUGACCUGUGGAACAAUCUAAAAGAAGUAUUGCUGAAAAUCGGGAAAAAAAAAAAUCAAAAUUUGCACCUGUUGAACCAGAUUUUGCUGUAUGUGCUUUGUGUUGCUUCCUGGUUCGCCGCUGGUGAUUCGGUAGAACAACAAACAUUCCCUGGCCAUCGUGCGAAAGGAUGGGUGUAUAAUGUUGUCAUUUUACAAAUAUUGCUUUCCCUGUUGAGGAAGGCACCCAGACCAACAACUGGUUAACUGUGAGACUGUUUGGUUUGGUUAUAUAACUUGUACGGAGGAGGAAACCAGUAAGGGGAAAAGAAACAAGAUCACUCUUUGAUA